GUGAAGUUCAUGGUAAAAUUAAUGGUAAUAGUUUAAAUAUUGUCUGCAGUUUACAAUUAUACUUUUUAUGUUAGUAUAUUUAUAUAUGUAUUGUACAGUAUUAAAUUUUGACAACGCUCAUUAUUAAAAUGUUAUUAAACCUUUUGACCUUCAACUAUUGGUUUUCUUAUCAAGAUGAUUAAAUCUAGGGUUUGACAUCCAGUUUAAGAAAAAAGACAGGGUCUAAGCUCUAUGUUAAUAUUUAAUGACCCUGAGUCUAGAGUUGUUUUACAUAGAUUAAAUAGAUCUUCUAUCCACAUUAAAUCCUAUAAAUUACAAAAGCAUGGAGAUGAAACAAAAUACUGCCAAGAUUCCUUUAAGACUUGUUUCUGAAUCCACUAUUU
RNAcentral lists this long non-coding RNA (383 nucleotides) under Mytilus galloprovincialis (Mediterranean mussel). The record is from RNAcentral. Lineage: Eukaryota; Metazoa; Mollusca; Bivalvia; Mytilida; Mytilidae.